Molecule: ribosomal RNA, 253 nt
Filed under: uncultured bacterium
Lineage: Bacteria
Description: partial 16S ribosomal RNA
Rfam family: Bacterial small subunit ribosomal RNA
Source: RNAcentral
UACGGGGGGGGCAAGCGUUGUUCGGAAUUACUGGGCGUAAAGGGCUCGUAGGUGGCCAACUAAGUCGGACGUGAAAUCCCCAGGCUCAACUUGGGAACUGCGUCCGAUACUGGAUGGCUUGAAUUCGGGAGAGGGAUGCAGAAUUCCAGGUGUAGCGGUGAAAUGCGUAGAUAUCUGGAGGAAUACCGGUGGCGAAGGCGGCAUCCUGGACCGAGAUUGACACUGAAAAGCGAAAGCCAGGGGAGCAAACGGG